This 253-nucleotide ribosomal RNA is filed under the name uncultured bacterium. RNAcentral's name for it is "partial 16S ribosomal RNA". It matches the Rfam family "Bacterial small subunit ribosomal RNA", at positions 524 to 776 of the family's 1533-position model. The record is from RNAcentral.
UACGUAGGGGGCAAGCGUUAUCCGGAUUUACUGGGUGUAAAGGGAGCGUAGACGGCGAAGCAAGUCUGGUGUGAAAACCCGGGGCUCAACCCCGGGCCUGCAUUGGAAACUGCUUUGCUCGAGUGCCGGAGAGGUAAGCGGAAUUCCUAGUGUAGCGGUGAAAUGCGUAGAUAUUAGGAGGAACACCAGUGGCGAAGGCGGCUUACUGGACGGUAACUGACGUUGAGGCUCGAAAGCGUGGGGAGCAAACAGG